Molecule: ribosomal RNA, 484 nt
Filed under: uncultured bacterium
Lineage: Bacteria
Description: bacterial SSU rRNA
Rfam family: Bacterial small subunit ribosomal RNA
Source: RNAcentral
AUUGAACGCUGGCGGCAUGCUUUACACAUGCAAGUCGAGCGGCAGCGCGUCCGACCACCCUCGGGUGGUCGGAUGGCGGCGAGCGGCGGACGGGUGAGGAAUGCAUCGGAAUCUGCCUCGUUGUGGGGGAUAACGUAGGGAAACUUACGCUAAUACCGCAUACGACCUACGGGUGAAAGUGGGGGACCUUCGGGCCUCACGCGAUGAGAUGAGCCGAUGCCGGAUUAGCUAGUUGGCGGGGUAAAGGCCCACCAAGGCGACGAUCCGUAGCUGGUCUGAGAGGAUGAUCAGCCACACUGGAACUGAGACACGGUCCAGACUCCUACGGGAGGCAGCAGUGGGGAAUUUUGGACAAUGGGCGCAAGCCUGAUCCAGCCAUGCCGCGUGCGGGACGAAGGCCUCGGUUGUAACCGACUUCUAGCCGGAAGAAAUACGCCGUUUUAAUUACUAGACGGUGGAGUGACGGUACCGGAACGAAGAAGAC